RNAcentral lists this ribosomal RNA (492 nucleotides) under uncultured bacterium. RNAcentral describes it as "partial 16S ribosomal RNA". It matches the Rfam family "Bacterial small subunit ribosomal RNA", at positions 29 to 507 of the family's 1533-position model. The record is from RNAcentral.
AGUGAACGCUGGCGGUAGGCCUAACACAUGCAAGUCGAACGGCAGCACAGUAAGAGCUUGCUCUUACGGGUGGCGAGUGGCGGACGGGUGAGGAAUACAUCGGAAUCUACUUUUUCGUGGGGGAUAACGUAGGGAAACUUACGCUAAUACCGCACACGACCUACGGGUGAAAGCAGGGGAUCUUCGGACCUUGCGCGAUUGAAUGAGCCGAUGUCGGAUUAGCUAGUUGGCGGGGUAAAGGCCCACCAAGGCGACGAUCCGUAGCUGGUCUGAGAGGAUGAUCAGCCACACUGGAACUGAGACACGGUCCAGACUCCUACGGGAGGCAGCAGUGGGGAAUAUUGGACAAUGGGCGCAAGCCUGAUCCAGCCAUACCGCGUGGGUGAAGAAGGCCUUCGAGUUGUAAAGCCCUUUUGUUGGGAAAGAAAAGCAGCAGGUUAAUACCCCGCUGUUCUGACGGUACCCAAAGAAUAAGCACCGGCUAACUUCGUG